GACGAACGCUGGCGGCGUGCUUAACACAUGCAAGUCGAGCGGUAAGGCCCUUUCGGGGGUACACGAGCGGCGAACGGGUGAGUAACACGUGGGUGACCUGCCCUCAGCUCUGGGAUAAGCCUGGGAAACCGGGUCUAAUACUGGAUAUGACUCCAUGACGCAUGUUGUGGGGUGGAAAGCCUUGUGCGGCUGAGGAUGGGCCCGCGGCCUAUCAGCUUGUUGGGGGGUGAUGGCCUACCAAGGCGACGACGGGUAGCCGGCCUGAGAGGGCGACCGGCCACACUGGGACUGAGACACGGCCCAGACUCCUACGGGAGGCAGCAGUGGGGAAUCUUGCGCAAUGGGCGAAAGCCUGACG
Molecule: ribosomal RNA, 358 nt
Filed under: uncultured bacterium
Lineage: Bacteria
Description: bacterial SSU rRNA
Rfam family: Bacterial small subunit ribosomal RNA
Source: RNAcentral